RNAcentral lists this long non-coding RNA (298 nucleotides) under Pelobates cultripes (western spadefoot toad). Lineage: Eukaryota; Metazoa; Chordata; Amphibia; Anura; Pelobatidae. The record is from RNAcentral.
GCCUUACUAAUUUUUCUUUUCAUUCUCGCUCUUCUCAUUUGUUGUGUCCUCCCAUGCCUAAGGAAAUUCCUGCAGAAAACUGUAGACCAAGCAACACCAACCUUCGCCCAUCUAGAGAUUGGUGACCAAGACCUCACAUCACCCUGUAUUCCGCUACAAACUCUCCCGUAUGUUGAUGAAGUGCAGAAAGUCCAGUACAGGGACAGCGUCCGUCUUUAUGGGUAGACUGCCGUACGGAGAAGUAGUGGAUAAGCCACUAUGAGUUACCAGCGGAGUGAAGAGUGUUCCUGAACCGUAC